UAGCUCAGUUGGUAGAGCAGAGGACUGAAAAUC
RNAcentral lists this transfer RNA (33 nucleotides) under Wurmbea glassii. RNAcentral's name for it is "partial transfer RNA-Leu". Lineage: Eukaryota; Viridiplantae; Streptophyta; Magnoliopsida; Liliales; Colchicaceae. The record is from RNAcentral.